Molecule: ribosomal RNA, 254 nt
Filed under: uncultured bacterium
Lineage: Bacteria
Description: partial 16S ribosomal RNA
Rfam family: Bacterial small subunit ribosomal RNA
Source: RNAcentral
UACGUAGGGUGCGAGCGUUGUCCGGAAUUAUUGGGCGUAAAGGGCUCGUAGGCGGUUUGUCGCGUCGGUCGUGAAAACUUGGGGCUUAACCCUGAGCUUGCGGUCGAUACGGGCAUGACUGGAGUUCGGCAGGGGAGACUGGAAUUCCUGGUGUAGCGGUGAAAUGCGCAGAUAUCAGGAGGAACACCGGUGGCGAAGGCGGGUCUCUGGGCCGAUACUGACGCUGAGGAGCGAAAGCGUGGGGAGCGAACAGG